CUUUUGCACAGGGCUUAUUGCCAACUGUGGAGAAGUUACCAACAGAGGAAUACGCCAAAGUGAUGGUCACCUUCACCAUUGCAUUCAUUGCUGUCCUCUUCCUGAAGGCCUAUAUGUUCAAAUGUGUCCUGAGCUGCUUUAAGUAUAUUAAAGCCAGCAAGAGAGAGGAGGUGAAAGUUGACCCACAAGCAGUUGAAAAGGCUGUGCUGCCAUCAUAUGAGGAAGUCUUAGAGCUGCCUUCCAAGGAAUCCCCACCACCCUACGUAGCAAUCUAAGCCUCACUCAUGGAGAGAAGAUGACAUCUGCAUUGCUGUUGGUGGCUCUUACUCCUUCUGUCAGAUAGUCAGUCUCAUUGAAAUGUCCUUACUUCAUAGCAAUAUCAUGCUUAUUACAGUCCAGCUCACUUUAUGAGCCUACAAAAGUGAUGGUGGCCCACUGGAGUUAGUGACUUGUUCUACACUGGCAGUUUUGACUUGAUAUUACCAAGUUGCAGUGCUAAUUUUAACUAACUUGGCACCAGGCACCACAGGGGUUCCCAUCACUGGCCUCUGACAUCUGGCUAAUGUGAAGUGUAGGCACUGGCCUGAAUCCCUUGUCAGCCUUGCUUUAUGCCAACAAGAUGCUGUUUCUCAUCUGUCUCACAUCUAAAUCAGCAGCUGAGACAUUUAAGAGGUGUAAUGGGGGGAAAACAAGCAAGAACCUUUUCACUGAGAUAGUCCAACCCUGAAGCUAUGCUAACCAGCAUCCUUUAACAAGGACCCUAUGGGAAAUGGAUCAGCAAAAGAAUUAAGAUUUCAAAUGAACGAUGAUGCAGCUCUCAUCCUGUCUGCUUAUGGUGAUGAUUAAUAGUGUGUUCUUCAGAGUAUGCCACAAGCUGGAAUUGUCACAGUACUGCUCUGCCAUUUUAUACCUGAGUGUUUGCCUUUUAUUUUGCUUUUAGUGUGACAUGAAAGAUGAGUUUCAAUUAAAAAAAUAGUUAAUGGCUUCAAUGCUUUGAUGUCUGAUUUCCGAAUGAUGCUGUCCUUGCUGCCUCAGAAUCAUAGAAAGGUUUGGGUUUGAAGGGACCUUAAAGCGCAUCUAGUUCACUUCUAACCAGAAGAGGGUUACUCAGUGUGAAUCAACUGAAUUGUGUUUAAAAUCCAUUUCCAUCUCUUUUAAAUGGUUCAAAUUCUACCUCCUAUUAAAUUCCCAUUAAUAAUUCUCUUGGCUAUUUAGUUACUGCAGCAGGGUUAAACAUUCCUUAAGCCUCUUGGUUUAAUUGACUAUGAUAAUACAGCUAAAGCAGCUAAAGUACGUUCAACACAGGGCUUGCAGUGAUGGGGUUUGUUUCAAUGUGUAUGAGGAGUCAAGCCUUCAGGUACACACCUGAUCUUCUAAAUGAACCUGAUGUUUUGUGGUUCUUAAGCCAGACGAUUCUUCUGCUUCAUGCAGUAUUUUCUCUCCAGGGCUCAGAACAGUUUGCUGUGAAAGCCUGGCUCAAAACCCCCUGAAAUCUGAUAAAAUGUAUAGAUUUAUUGUGAGUUUCCAGCCAGGUCAGGGGCUGAGUUCUAGACGGGAAGUGGUUUUGGUUUUCUGCAGUGUUAGAUGAUUUGGCCAACACAAACUGAGCACAAGCUGUCCCAAGCCUGUUAAUAAGUCAGACGAUGGUGCUAUCAAUGCUGGUUUUGAGACUGAUAAAAGACUCUUUUAAUAUGCUACUGUUAUACUGUUUUCUCUUCUCUAAACUGAUUUACUGAUGUUUCUCCAAUAUAGGCU
Molecule: long non-coding RNA, 1755 nt
Filed under: Strigops habroptila (Kakapo)
Lineage: Eukaryota; Metazoa; Chordata; Aves; Psittaciformes; Psittacidae
Description: lncRNA (ENSSHBG00005005749.1)
Source: RNAcentral